Molecule: long non-coding RNA, 339 nt
Filed under: Phoenix dactylifera (date palm)
Lineage: Eukaryota; Viridiplantae; Streptophyta; Magnoliopsida; Arecales; Arecaceae
Description: long non-coding RNA (PDAC_LNC017205)
Source: RNAcentral
UGAGCGAGGACGGUGGCGAACAUCAGGCCACCGGAGUGCCCAGAUCUGGCAACAUCCUGGUCCGAGAGCAAGGAGAAAAUAGGGAGGAGGGGGGGUCUCGGAUCGGGUGAGCUAUCGGGGGCUUUUAUAGCCCUCUCCGGGGAAGAAAGAAAAUGGUUGUGGCUCGUUCACCUCCGUGAUGCUCGCGGUGGUCGGGCAGAAUCGGAGGCCAUUCAAGAGGCCACGACAUUUCCGCUCAAGCCUCGCCACCGUUACCCCGAGGAAGAAGACCAGAGGAUCGCGUCGCGAUCCCUUGUCUCGGUCUCUUCUUCAGCCAUGGGAUGAAACCGGUUGGGCCCG